AGCUCUUCCUUCCUGCCAGGGUUGGGGGAGUGGGGGGGGAGGGGAAUUGGUCCUGGUGUUGGAGGAGAGAGGAGCUUGUUCAGCCCAGUCUGGAGUGGCAUGCUCUUCUUGGUUCAGCCCAAAGACACAGGCUUCUAAAGUGCUGAGGAGAGGAAGAGUUCUGCGUCUAGACUGCCGCCAUGUUUACCAGGAAGUAUUGAAAAUAUUAUAGAAGGUGUUCAUGAACCAAUGGUAUGAAGAGACUUCAGUUUAUUUAAAGGAUAGAUGUUUUUCCUGAAGAUAUCAGAUGAGUGCUAAUUCUGUUAAAGAUGGCUAUAUACCAAUAACUAAGCCUGAUAAGCCCUUCAUUGUCAGUUAACAAGUGGUAAUCACUUCACACUCUUAAAGCAGAAUCUCCUCUACAUCAUUCCUGGGGCUCCUUCUUAUAUACACUUCAAUCUUUUUUGGAUGGCAAAAAGAAUCUUUGUUAACAGUAUAAAGCAAAUAAAAAUAUACUAAGUUUCA
This 504-nucleotide long non-coding RNA is filed under the name Monodelphis domestica (gray short-tailed opossum). Its description in RNAcentral is "lncRNA (ENSMODG00000045831.1)". Lineage: Eukaryota; Metazoa; Chordata; Mammalia; Didelphimorphia; Didelphidae. The record is from RNAcentral.